GUUGAAGAACGUAGCGAAAUGCGAUAAGUAAUGUGAAUUGCAGAAUUCAGUGAAUCAUCGAAUCUUUGAACGCACAUUGCGCCCGCCAGUAUUCUGGCGGGCAUGCCUGUUCGAGCGUCAUUUCAACCAUCAAGCCCCCGGCUUGUGUUGGGGACCUGCGGCUGCCGCAGGCCCUGAAAACCAGUGGCGGGCUCGCUAGUCACUCCGAGCGUAGUAAUACAUCUCGCUCAGGGCGUGCUGCGGGUUCCGGCCGUUAAAAAGCCUUAUUUACCCAAGGUUGACCUCGGAUCAGGUAGGAAGACCCGCUGAACUUAAGCAUAUCAAUAAGCGGAGGA
RNAcentral lists this unclassified non-coding RNA (335 nucleotides) under soil metagenome. Its description in RNAcentral is "partial contains 5.8S ribosomal RNA, internal transcribed spacer 2, and large subunit ribosomal RNA". The stretch from base 1 to 120 matches the Rfam family "5.8S ribosomal RNA", at positions 35 to 154 of the family's 154-position model. The record is from RNAcentral.